Saxophila tyrrhenica is the source of this 144-nucleotide non-coding RNA. The record is from the annotation of a RefSeq genome assembly. Lineage: Eukaryota; Fungi; Ascomycota; Dothideomycetes; Mycosphaerellales; Extremaceae.
UCCUGGAUAGUUCAAUUGGUUAGAAUGUACGUUCAGCUCAACUCCUUGGGUGCUGCAGGCUGCUGACACAGACGAUGACAGAUCCGCUCGUCUUUCGCAAGAGCGACAGCGUGGAUGAUGGUGGUUCGAGUCCAUCUCUGGGAG